Molecule: unclassified non-coding RNA, 341 nt
Filed under: Hevea brasiliensis (rubber tree)
Lineage: Eukaryota; Viridiplantae; Streptophyta; Magnoliopsida; Malpighiales; Euphorbiaceae
Source: RNAcentral
GUUUGGCUGUGUUGUGCAAUUUGUAUGUGUAGUUAAACAUUUAUAUUGACGUUUAGUUGGAGUUUAUUGAGCUUACAAUCUAUUGCUGGCCAUUAAGAAUGCUAGAGAAAGGGAUCGGAGGACUCUCCUACGCACUUAUUUUUCAGGAAAUAAAAUGUAAUUAUGCAAGUGAUGAGCAAUUUCCAGAUCCAAAAGUGCUAAAAUGAAGCUUGGACAUUGAAGAUUGUGAAGCUGCCGAAAUCCGCAUAAUUUGCUACACAACCUGUGCAGUUUUUGCAUAAGAAUUAGAAGAUAUUGAAUAUCUGCUGAAAAGUGCAUAACUUGCUGCACAACUUAUGCAG